AGACAUCUUAAGGAAUGAACAGUCUCUAAGGCAAAGGCUCAUUUGAGGAAUGCUUUUGGAAGGACCAGAAUUUGACCAAGCUAAUAAUAUAAUAUAGCCCUGAAUCCCAACAAUGGUACCUGCAUGUGCUACUCACUGCCACUCCACCACCUCUGCAAUGUGUCAUGGAGGACUUGAAUCAUCUCUGAUGGACGUCGGCACACAUCCCGCCAAGCAUCUGACAGAAUAAUCUGCAUGAUCUGCUUGUGAUUGACGCCAACCUGUUAGAAAUCAUUUGUCUCCAACAAACUGUUCUGAACAGUUUGUUUGAUGUAUUUGAUAGGAACUGGGAGGAGAAAAUAAUAAUUUAAUAAUGCAACAUGUCAGAGCUAAAUUAUUUUUUGUUAGGAAAACUGUGGUUUUGUCAUAUAUGUCGCUGAAUUAAACUAAAACAGCAAA
Molecule: long non-coding RNA, 438 nt
Organism: Neopelma chrysocephalum (saffron-crested tyrant-manakin)
Lineage: Eukaryota; Metazoa; Chordata; Aves; Passeriformes; Pipridae
Exons: 4
Source: RefSeq, a predicted model, not a curated record